ACCUCCUACCGUACGCACGCGGCACAGCGAGUCUUUGGCAGACAGGCGUCUUUGGCAGACCUGACGUUGGCCGGUUGCGGUUGCAAAGAGACUUCUCCCGUUUGUUUGUUUUCUCUUUACCCAGUUCCAUUCGCGCGACAAAACCGUCCGCAGCCCUCUCAAGCGAGCAGCAGCAGAAACGAAAGCCCCAGUCCAGGCAGUGUUUGGUUCGAUUCUAUUGCUGGCACGAAGUGUUUCCAAGAGUAGGGAGCGAGAAGACGUACAAAAUAGAAGAAAAAAAACAGCUGAAUGAGCAGUGAGUUUGUGAACGCGCACGCUUCAAACCCUCAGAUCAAAUCGCGCUAACCGUUUGGUGUGUUCGCGGCAGUGUUCUUACCCAUUACCACCGCCAAAGUGAAAGCUGAUCCAGAUUGUCCAGAUUUCAGCUGCUAGUGUUGGUGUGUGUGUUUGUAUGUGUGUGUGUGUGUGUGCGCACGCGCAUGUGUCUUUAGUCACGCAACGCAACGCAAGUGAAGUGACGAGGUGAAAAGUGGGAAAGAGAUCGUGCGCACGGUUCCGAAAAAGCGGGCCACGCAAAGGCCGAUAGAUAGUUGACAGCUUCAGCGAUCUUCAGGCGCAAAAAGUUGGCUCUGCACAGGUGUGAAUUUUGUGUCGGUGUGUGUAUGUGCGAUUAAGUUUAGAGCGUGUGGUGUGGUUUGAGUGUUUGAGAGCGCCAGUGUUUGCAGCGGCAGCCUUAAGGGCAGGUGCGGCAGCCAUACAGUACACGGAAAAGUGAGAGCGAAGGUGCUUUCUUUUCGAAGUGGCGAAGUGUCAAAAGCCCGCAGCGUGUUAUAAUUGUUCACUUUCCACCCCAACCCUUUCCUUUUCCCUUCUCCCUUCUCGUGCUCAACGGUUUGCUUGUGUGGUAGAGCCAUUCUAGCGCAUUGGUGAUUGUGAUUCGGUUCGGUUGCGCCGUGCUGCUGCGGUUUUGAGUACACGCGAUAGUUCGCGCAUUGGCACCGAAAAGUGAAAAAUACUACACGCUGGUGUGAAAACGGAAGCAAAUCCACUCAGCGCUUUAACGGCGCUGUCCCACUGAACUGGUGCAAGGUGCAGUAAAACAUUAAGUAGCAGCAGCAGCAGCAGCAACGUGUAGGAGACCGUAUAGAGAGUGCAAGAGAGCGAGGAAAGAAACAACAACAUUGUCUUCACCUCGAAAACAAAACCGUAAGUGUCUCCAUACCAUUCGGGAAGCGAAAGUUUGACGCAAUCUAUCACUCGGGAGCGGCCGGACGGACGGAAGCACAUCACGCGACAUCCCGUCAUCGUGUUAAGUG
Anopheles merus is the source of this 1316-nucleotide long non-coding RNA. RefSeq lists it as uncharacterized. The transcript is spliced from 3 exons. The record is from RefSeq and is a predicted model, not a curated record. Lineage: Eukaryota; Metazoa; Arthropoda; Insecta; Diptera; Culicidae.